CCAGACUCCUACGGGAGGCAGCAGUGGGGGAUAUUGCACAAUGGGGGCAACCCUGAUGCAGCGACGCCGCGUGAGCGAUGGAGUACUUCGGUAUGUAAAGCUCUGUCAGCAGGGAAGAGAAUGACGGUACCUGACCAAGAAGCCCCGGCUAAAUACGUGCCAGCAGCCGCGGUAAUACGUAUGGGGCAAGCGUUAUCCGGAUUUACUGGGUGUAAAGGGAGCGUAGACGGUUGUACAAGUCUGAUGUGAAAGCCCACGGCUCAACUGUGGGAGUGCAUUGGAAACUGUAGAACUAGAGUAUCGGAGAGGCAAGUGGAAUUCCUAGUGUAGCGGUGAAAUGCGUAGAUAUUAGGAGGAACACCAGUGGCGAAGGCGGCUUGCUGGACGAAAACUGACGUUGAGGCUCGAAAGCGUGGGGAGCAAACAGGAUUAGAUACCCUCGUA
This 444-nucleotide ribosomal RNA is filed under the name uncultured bacterium. RNAcentral describes it as "partial 16S ribosomal RNA". It matches the Rfam family "Bacterial small subunit ribosomal RNA", at positions 331 to 792 of the family's 1533-position model. The record is from RNAcentral.